AGCGAACGCUGGCGGCAGGCUUAACACAUGCAAGUCGAGCGGGCACUUUCGGGUUUCAGCGGCGGACGGGUGAGCAACGCGGGGGAACGCGCCUUCGGGUUCGGAAUAACUCAGGGAAACUUGAGCUAAUACCGGAUACGCCCUUUUGGGGAAAGGCUUGCCGCCGGAGGAUCGGCCCGCGUCUGAUUAGCUAGUUGGUGAGGUAACGGCUCACCAAGGCGACGAUCAGUAGCUGGUCUGAGAGGAUGAUCAGCCACACUGGGACUGAGACACGGCCCAGACUCCUACGGGAGGCAGCAGUGGGGAAUAUUGGACAAUGGGCGCAAGCCUGAUCCAGCCAUGCCGCGUGAGUGAUGAAGGCCUUAGGGUUGUAAAGCUCUUUUAUCCGGGACGAUAAUGACGGUACCGGAGGAAUAAGCCCCGGCUAACUUCGUG
Molecule: ribosomal RNA, 435 nt
Filed under: uncultured bacterium
Lineage: Bacteria
Description: partial 16S ribosomal RNA
Rfam family: Bacterial small subunit ribosomal RNA
Source: RNAcentral